Molecule: ribosomal RNA, 544 nt
Filed under: uncultured bacterium
Lineage: Bacteria
Description: bacterial SSU rRNA
Rfam family: Bacterial small subunit ribosomal RNA
Source: RNAcentral
AAGGGGCAGUAAGGCAUGGGUAUCUACCCUGGGGUCGGGCAUAGCCUGUCGAGAGACAGGGUAAUUCCCGAUGAUGUCGUGAGACCAAAGGUCCGCCGCCCUAGGAGGAGCCCAUGUGAUAUUAGCUAGUUGGUAAGGUAACGGCUUACCAAGGCGAAGAUGUCUAGCGGGUGUGAGAGCACGACCCGCGCCACUGGCACUGAGACACUGGCCAGACACCUACGGGUGGCUGCAGUCGAGGAUCUUCGGCAAUGGGCGCAAGCCUGACCGAGCGAGACCGCGUGUGCGAUGAAGGCCUUCGGGUUGUAAAGCACUGUCGAGGGGGAGAAAAGCGAAAGCUUGAUCUAUCCCUGGAGGAAGCACGGGCUAAGUUCGUGCCAGCAGCCGCGGUAAGACGAACCGUGCGAACGUUGUUCGGAAUCACUGGGCUUAAAGGGCGCGUAGGCGGGCCACCAAGUCCGGGGUGAAAUCCUCCAGCUUAACUGGAGAACUGCCUCGGAUACUGGAGGUCUUGAGGAAGAUAGGGGCAUGCGGAACCGUGGGU